Molecule: long non-coding RNA, 1029 nt
Organism: Nymphaea colorata (pocket water lily)
Lineage: Eukaryota; Viridiplantae; Streptophyta; Magnoliopsida; Nymphaeales; Nymphaeaceae
Exons: 4
Source: RefSeq, a predicted model, not a curated record
ACAAAAUGAAUUUCAUCCCACAAUUUCAAUUUCAUGUGUUCGUUUUAGCUCUCUUGUGUUGUCAAGGUUGUGUUCUUUUGUAAAAAUUUAACAUCAGAGGGUCGGUUACAUAAGUGAAGGGCUUUCCAAAACAAUCCAUCACGAUCCAAGAAAAGGGAUAACCGCCAAAAAGCAACAACCAAGAAGGCGAUCCCGAAAAAUCAGGAGGGAAAAAGCGAGGGAAUUUCACACCGUGACCGUGAGUAUUCAAGAGUGAUCCUACCGCCAUCGCCCAUCCUGUUGCUCUUAGGGCACGACGCUCUUUCCAUUUUUCCUUCGAGCGAGUAUUUAUGUAAUAGGGAAGGGGGAGAAGGGAAGAAGUUUCGUGGGCUUCGUCUUUGCCCACAAAUCAUCAAUGCCCUUUCUUCCAUUGUGUUCGAGCUUCCUUACAGCGGCAAGGAUGUCGAACUGCUGGAGCAAUUCUGCAAGAUAAGGGGUCCAUCCUAUGGUACUAAGGGCCAAAGUUCUGCUUGCUUUUGAAGAAAAUGGAUCCUCUAAGGUCGGUGGUAGAUUUGAUAAACCAGUUUUGGAGGGAAAUGACCUUGGUGGUCUAUGUGAGCAAAAUCAUGGUUUUUUUUGCACUGCUGACUACUUGCAUUUAGAAAGUUCUUCCGGUGAGAAAAUUGACAAGAUUGCUAUCAACGCAAUGUUUGAGGCAUCGUACAUCUCUUUUGGUUAACAUACCCACUUGUAAUGGGAUGAACCUGUGAUACCAAAAUCGUUAUGUAGAUGAGGAACAUGCAGCAUUCAUUUUGGCUUCAACUCUUUACAAUGUCUUGAAGGACAAAGUGAAAGAAGGUUAUGUAUUAUGGAUAUGACUCCAAUGCAGCAGCGUUGGUCAAGGCACAGUCAUUGCUGCUGAUGAAGAUUACGGCAGUUUCUAAACAAGAGAUGCCAUACCAUAGUCGUCAAAUAAAUAAAUAAAGAUAAAUCUCUGUUGUAACAGAUCCUAUUAUUUUGAAGCAAUCUUUGAAAAUGGUUGUAGAGAUC